Coturnix japonica (Japanese quail) is the source of this 1304-nucleotide non-coding RNA. NCBI's taxonomy places the organism in Eukaryota, Metazoa, Chordata, Aves, Galliformes, Phasianidae. The record is from RefSeq and is a predicted model, not a curated record.
CCUGACAGCUUACUUACAAGCCUGACAUCUACAAUGAACAUACUGUGAUGGAGGGUGGAAGAACCUAAAUUCUCUUACUAGCCUUUGUAUUUAUUUAUGAUUAUGUAAUUGGUAUCAGAGAAAAACAAAAGUCCAUAGAAAAAGGAAAGUAUUUUCUUAAGUGUCAAGAUCUUGGGUGACUAAGAUAAAACCUUAGUUACCUGAUCUCUAGUAUUGCCAGAUGAGCUGUUCACACAGUGUUUGAGUUUCUCAAACUGCAAAGGUGACAACUCUUUCCCCAUGUGUGUUGUUUGAGAAAUAGCUGCAAUUUAUGAUUUCUUUUUUCAUUCAGAGCAAAAGCAGUGCACAACUUCUGUGCACCAUAUUCCUGUGACCUUAGAGGAGAUAUUAGACAUGGAUCAACUGUUCCUGUCAUGGGCAGAGCCAACAAACUGUAAAAAACACUAUGUAAUGGGAGUUCAGCAUUUAACCUACCAGAAACAUUGCUGCUUCUAAUCUCAAGAUGACCACAGGCAAAUCAUGCCAGAAGCCAUAUAUUGUCAUCUGUUGGGGAUGGGAAAGAAUACCUUGCGCUUGACAGCUUACUUAGACCAGAUGCUUUUACUUAAGAGUUUUAUAAAGUCAAAAACAGGAAUGAAGGGACAGAAGACUAAGCAUAAACUAAGUUACUUAAUGAUAUUCUGAGGCUGUUACUGAGAUACACAUGAAGAUACACUGUUGUCUUUCUUAACGGAGCAAAAUGGCACAAGUGAAAUGCAGUGAAUAUGAAAACACAAGGAGUUUUAGAAGUCUUUCCACUUGUCUGAUCAGUGCUGGGAGGUGUAAUUGUUCUGGCUUUCCCCAGAGGUGGCCUAUGGACAAGUUUGUGUUAAGUGAACUGAGAGACCUGUAACCCCUUGGCUGCAGCCACUCCACAGCAUGGAUUCUGACUGUUUAUUUCAAAAACCCACCUAAUUAGGAGUAGACAUCACUUGUGAACAAAGCAUUUUCCCUCUUGCUUGUCUCUCCUCUGCUCAUAACAGGUUUUUAUUUCUCCAAGUGACAGAGGGGCUGCUUAGUCAAAAAGGCAGAACAAAUUCACAAAGCUAGAGAUAAGAUCUUCUUGGUACAAGGAGUGUUGACAGUGUCUUCUCUCUGUCUCUAUUCUGGGGUUUCUAUCCUUUCAUAGGUAGACUCUUACAUUGAACUAACUUAGAGUAGUGUUGGAUUGACUUGUUGCUGAUUUAUUAAGAUGUAUUUUUAAUCGACAAUCCGCAGAGCUACUUUGAGUUGACGCUCUGUAGUAAAACACACAUAGCAAAACA